Molecule: non-coding RNA, 104 nt
Filed under: uncultured Anaeroplasma sp.
Lineage: Bacteria; Bacillati; Mycoplasmatota; Mollicutes; Anaeroplasmatales; Anaeroplasmataceae
Description: FMN riboswitch (RFN element)
Rfam family: FMN riboswitch aptamer (RFN element)
About the family: The RFN element is a highly conserved domain that is found frequently in the 5'-untranslated regions of prokaryotic mRNAs that encode for flavin mononucleotide (FMN) biosynthesis and transport proteins. This element is a metabolite-dependent riboswitch that directly binds FMN in the absence of proteins.
Source: RNAcentral
ACUUCGGGGUUUGGUGAAAUUCCAUACCGGCGGUAUAGUCCGCGAGCGUUUGCAUGAUCAGGUGUAAUUCCUGAACCGACAGUAGAGUCUGGAUGAGAGAAGAA